This 149-nucleotide non-coding RNA is filed under the name Homo sapiens (human). The record is from Rfam by way of RNAcentral. Lineage: Eukaryota; Metazoa; Chordata; Mammalia; Primates; Hominidae.
GCUGGGUGUGGUGGCGCACACCUGUAGUCCCAAGCUACUAGGGAGGCUGAGGCAGAAGAAUCACUUGAACCCAGGAGGCGAAGGUUGCAGUGAGCUGAGAUUGUGCCACUGCACUCCAACCUGGGUGACAAAGUGAGACUGUGUCUCAA